AACGCACAUUGCGCCCAUUAGUAUUCUAGUGGGCAUGCCUGUUCGAGCGUCAUUUCAACCCCUAAGCACAGCUUAUUGUUGGGAAUCCACGCCUGUGGUUCCUCAAAGACAUUGGCGGAGUGGCAGUAGUCCUCUGAGCGUAGUAAUUCUUUAUCUCGCUUUUGUUAGGUGCUGCCCCCCGGCCGUAAAACCCCCAAUUUUUUCUGGUUGACCUCGGAUCAGGUAGGAAUACCCGCUGAACUUAA
RNAcentral lists this unclassified non-coding RNA (245 nucleotides) under uncultured Trichosphaeriales. RNAcentral describes it as "sequence contains 5.8S rRNA gene, ITS2, 28S rRNA gene". The record is from RNAcentral. Lineage: Eukaryota; Fungi; Ascomycota; Sordariomycetes; Trichosphaeriales.